RNAcentral lists this unclassified non-coding RNA (1956 nucleotides) under uncultured fungus. Its description in RNAcentral is "sequence contains 18S rRNA gene, ITS1, 5.8S rRNA gene, ITS2, 28S rRNA gene". The stretch from base 974 to 1956 matches the Rfam family "Eukaryotic large subunit ribosomal RNA", at positions 1 to 961 of the family's 3401-position model. The record is from RNAcentral. Lineage: Eukaryota; Fungi.
GGAAGGAUCAUUACCGAAUGAACUGCACCUUCUUGUAGCAGAACCAUUGCCCAUGGCCGGAUGAUCAGAUCUGACAAACAUCAACGGACGCUUUGGUUUGGGACCAUUUUGGCCAUGCUGGAUGGUUGGAUGUACGGUCUCUGGGCUGGGCCCUUUGGUCUGCUACGCUUAUCAAACCCGUCAUUGUAUGUGUGGUGGGGUGGCAUCCACCUUUUGUUGGGUUGCCCCUCAAGUAUGUAAACAUGAAUAUAACUUUCAACAACGGAUCUCUUGGCUCUCGCAUCGAUGAAGAACGCAGCGAAAUGCGAUAAGUAAUGUGAAUUGCAGAAUUCAGUGAAUCAUCGAAUCUUUGAACGCACCUUGCGCUCCUUGGCAUUCCGAGGAGCAUGCCUGUUUGAGUGUCGUUGAAUUCUCAGAACCUUCUGGUUCGGAUUGGUGGAGGAUGCAUUGCUUUGCCUUGCCUUGCUUUGCUUCUCUGAAAUGGAUUGGCCUGCGGCUGUGAUUCACGAGCCUUGUCGGUAGGAUGAUAAUUAAUGUCUUGCCUGCUUCCAACGUGUGCCAGCCAGGCCCAGAUGAGAUAAUCGUCCCUAUCUAUCCCUCCCGUCCAAUUCUGAGUGAGCUUCUCCAAAUUGGAUUGGCUUUUGCCCGUAUGUCCAUAGUAGGUGAUUGGCAAGCCAUAAUCCAAUCACCUCGCCUGGGUGGGUAAGUGUUUGCUGCAGCAUGGCACUGCUCAACGCUAAGAUCUUACCACCCAGAUAGGAAGAGGAUGGGCCUGUUGAUUCUGUAAUUUCCUUCGGGUGCCGGGAUGGGUAACCUUCCCGUUUUAGCCAGGCCAGAUGGAGACGAUCGGCUGCGAUUCGUGGGUCGGGUAAAUACCAUCAAUGUCUUACCUGCUUGAUCAUCGGGUGGCAACGAUGGUCUUGCCAGACCAGCCCAGGCGAGAGGUGGACGCCUGUAUCUAUCUACUACAAUUUGACCUCAAAUCAGGCAGGACUACCCGCUGAACUUAAGCAUAUCAAUAAGCGGAGGAAAAGAAACUAACAAGGAUUCCCCUAGUAACUGCGAGUGAAGCGGGAAGAGCUCAAAUUUAAAAUCUGGCGGUCGCUUGGCCGUCCGAGUUGUAAGCUAGAGAAGUGCCAUCCGCGCUGGGGCCAUGUACAAGUCUCCUGGAACGGAGCGUCAUAGAGGGUGAGAAUCCCGUCUCUGACAUGGACCUCCCGGGGCAUCGCGAUGGCGCUCUCAAGGAGUCGAGUUGUUUGGGAAUGCAGCUCCAAAUGGGUGGUAAAUUCCAUCUAAAGCUAAACAUUGGCGAGAGACCGAUAGCGAACAAGUACCGUGAGGGAAAGAUGAAAAGAACUUUGGAAAGAGAGUUAAACAGUACGUGAAAUUGUUGAAAGGGAAACGCUUGAAGUCAGUCGCGUCGGCUUGGGAUCAGCCUUGCAACCCGCGAGGUGCACUCCCUGGUCGACGGGUCAGCACCAGUUUCGACCGUUGGAGAAAGGUCGGGGGAAUGUGGCAUCCUCGGAUGUGUUUAUAGCCCUCGAUCGCAUGCAUCGGUUGGGAUUGAGGAACUCAGCGCGCCGCAAGGCCGGGUUUUUCAAACCACGUCCGCGCUCAGGGUGCUGGCACAAUGGCUUUAAUCGACCCGUCUUGAAACACGGACCAAGGAGUCUAACAUGUCUGCGAGUGUUUGGGUGGAAAACCCAUGCGCGCAAUGAAAGUGAAAGGUUGAGAUCUCUGUCGUGGAGAGCAUCGACGCCCGGACCAGACCUCCUGUGACGGAUCCGCGGUGGAGCAUGCAUGUUGGGACCCGAAAGAUGGUGAACUAUGCCUGAAUAGGGUGAAGCCAGAGGAAACUCUGGUGGAGGCUCGUAGCGAUUCUGACGUGCAAAUCGAUCGUCGAAUUUGGGUAUAGGGGCGAAAGACUAAUCGAACCAUCUAGUAGCUGGUUCCUGC